UAAUACGUAGGUGGCAAGCGUUGUCCGGAAUUAUUGGGCGUAAAGCGCGCGCAGGUGGUUCCUUAAGUCUGAUGUGAAAGCCCACGGCUCAACCGUGGAGGGUCAUUGGAAACUGGGGAACUUGAGUGCAGAAGAGGAUAGUGGAAUUCCAAGUGUAGCGGUGAAAUGCGUAGAGAUUUGGAGGAACACCAGUGGCGAAGGCGACUAUCUGGUCUGUAACUGACACUGAGGCGCGAAAGCGUGGGGAGCAAACAGGAUUAGAUACCCUGGUAGUCCACGCCGUAAACGAUGAGUGCUAAGUGUUGGGGGGUUUCCGCCCCUCAGUGCUGCAGCUAACGCAUUAAGCACUCCGCCUGGGGAGUACGGUCGCAAGACUG
RNAcentral lists this ribosomal RNA (377 nucleotides) under uncultured bacterium. RNAcentral describes it as "bacterial SSU rRNA". It matches the Rfam family "Bacterial small subunit ribosomal RNA", at positions 521 to 896 of the family's 1533-position model. The record is from RNAcentral.